CUUCUACUUUCAGUUCUGCCUUCAUCACAUCUUUGUCCGCUGGUCUUUCUAAUAAGGAGAGAUGAGUUGUUUUGCCAGUGUUAUUCCCCCCCACCAAAUGUGAGCGGGAAAGAUGGCUUCCUCUCGUUAGCUGUGCCUUCACUGCUCAGAUCUCACCGUUUGUGGGAGCAGAGUAAUCUGAUAUGUAAAUAUAGUGUUUGAUCCAAAGCGAUAGUCUAACGAGCAAAAAUCUCUACUUUUCCCCGCCUUUCCUGCACUAGUAAUUAAAACAAAGCCUGUUUGGGCUUUUCUCCUCCAUCUCCCGUCUUUUCUGUCUGUCUCUUCCUCGUCUUUCCGCCUCACUUUCCUCUCCUCUCACUCUCAUGUUUUCUGCCUCUCUGUGUCUCCUCUUUGACACAAGCGCAGCGCAGUCUUGAUUUUUACACGUUUCAUCCUUUACGUUAGGCAGCUGCUGCAUAUUUUGUCUGAGCUGUUGCUGUGAAGUACGUUUGUCAUAUUGGAAACGCGAUGUUUGAAGCCGGGCUCUUUUGAAGUGGCUGAUGUGGGGCUGUUUUAACUGGAAGGCAAAGGGACGGCGCUCGCCCGUAAUGGGGGAGUAUUCAAAUGACUGACCUCUAGAUGACAGACCCAACCAACUGCGCUAUGAAUAAACAGCAGCUUGAUGUGGUGCUUUACACUGCGCUUUGUUCAGGUGUUGAUAUCAUGUUCCUAUCAUACUGCCUGCUAAAUGACUGAAGGUCACUGGUGUCUGUGCAUAGCCCUGAGAUCCAUUUAGCUAAGAGCUCAACAGUGAAAAGACUGUGAGUGGGAGCACAGAGCCAAUCCCCCUGGCGAGGCGUGUGUAUGUGUGUGUCUUAUAGUGUGGAAACGAUGAUGAGCAGGUUGUCAAUGAGUCCUAAAACCCAUAUGAUGAUAAUUUGCUUAAUAUGUAAGAUUAGUAAUAAAGAAUGAUUCACUUAUCCCAGAGCUGGCAUACAAACGGCACAUUAAAACAAGGCUUCAACCAAAGGAGGGUGAGGGGGGCACUUAUCAUUGAAAGCUUUUAAUCAGGCUUUUCAUAUUGGCCAUUUAUAUCUCUUCACUAUAUAAAGGCUGACGUACAACUGAAUACCACUUUUAUUUCAGCUCAAAGAUUCAGAAUGCUCUUUUCUGAUUUAUUUUUCAAUCAUGGUUUGGACUCUUCGUUUUUUUUCUCUGAUUAUUUAUAAUUACGUUUUCGGUUUUUGUGUGUUUGUGUUGGUUGUUUUUGUGUGUUUCGUAGUUUCAGUGCAGCAGUGGCCGGUGGAUGCAUGGAGACACAGGUUUCCCUGAUCAGGGGCAACGAGAAGCUGCUCUUAAGCUCAAGCUCAGGCUUCUGCGGGCUGCCAGUUCGUGCCAGCCUAACAAGUGGUAUCCAGGUUCUUUAUUGUGUGCUUGUGUACUAUUGUCAAAGUUUUUUCCUGCGCAGUCUGCUUUACUUACCCUGUUUCUCUUUGUCGCCACAGUGAUCUCCAUGCUACCCUCAGCGCCUCCACCUCCAGCCUGCAACCCUUUCACUUUUGGGCAAUCUCAGUUGCUCGAACUCAACAAAACAACUCUGUUUGGAAUAAAACCUGAUCACUCUA
This 1604-nucleotide long non-coding RNA is filed under the name Xyrichtys novacula (pearly razorfish). The record is from RNAcentral. Lineage: Eukaryota; Metazoa; Chordata; Actinopteri; Labriformes; Labridae.